UACGGGGAGCAGCAGGCGCGAAAACUCUACAAUGCACGAAAGUGUGAUAGGGGAACCCUAAGUGCUCAGCUCUGCUGGGCUUUUGCCAAGAGUAAAAACCUUGGCGAAUAAGUGGUGGGUAAGACGGGUGCCAGCAGCGCGGUAAAAUCUCUAGA
RNAcentral lists this ribosomal RNA (155 nucleotides) under uncultured archaeon. RNAcentral describes it as "partial 16S ribosomal RNA". It matches the Rfam family "Archaeal small subunit ribosomal RNA", at positions 324 to 483 of the family's 1478-position model. The record is from RNAcentral.